ACUCAAAGGAAUUGACGGGGACCCGCACAAGCGGUGGAUUAUGUGGAUUAAUUCGAUGCAACGCGAAAAACCUUACCUACCCUUGACAUGUGCGGAAGGGGGCAGAGAUGCCUCCGUGCCCGAAAGGGAGCCGCAACACAGGUGCUGCAUGGCUGUCGUCAGCUCGUGUCGUGAGAUGUUGGGUUAAGUCCCGCAACGAGCGCAACCCUUGCCGCUAAUUGCCAUCAUUUGGUUGGGCACUUUAGCGGGACUGCCGGUGACAAACCGGAGGAAGGUGGGGAUGACGUCAAGUCCUCAUGGCCCUUAUGGGUAGGGCUUCACACGUAAUACAAUGGCGCAUACAGAGGGUUGCGAAGCGGCGACGCGGAGCCAAUCCCAGAAAGUGCGUCGUAGUCCGGAUUGUUCUCUGCAACUCGAGAGCAUGAAGUCGGAAUCGCUAGUAAUCGCGGAUCAGCAUGUCGCGGUGAAUACGUUCCCGGGUCUUGUACACACCGCCCGU
RNAcentral lists this ribosomal RNA (499 nucleotides) under uncultured bacterium. RNAcentral describes it as "partial 16S ribosomal RNA". It matches the Rfam family "Bacterial small subunit ribosomal RNA", at positions 899 to 1397 of the family's 1533-position model. The record is from RNAcentral.